GGAGGGAUGGCCGAGUGGUUUAAGGCGCAUGCUUGGAAAGCAUGUGUGCGAAAGCACGCGCGGGUUCGAAUCCCACUCCCUCCGCCA
RNAcentral lists this transfer RNA (87 nucleotides) under candidate division WWE3 bacterium RIFCSPHIGHO2_01_FULL_35_17. RNAcentral's name for it is "tRNA-Ser". It matches the Rfam family "tRNA". From Rfam's summary of the family: Transfer RNA (tRNA) molecules are approximately 80 nucleotides in length. Their secondary structure includes four short double-helical elements and three loops (D, anti-codon, and T loops). Lineage: Bacteria; candidate division WWE3. The record is from RNAcentral.